This 497-nucleotide ribosomal RNA is filed under the name uncultured bacterium. RNAcentral describes it as "partial 16S ribosomal RNA". It matches the Rfam family "Bacterial small subunit ribosomal RNA", at positions 28 to 507 of the family's 1533-position model. The record is from RNAcentral.
GAUGAACGCUGGCGGCGUGCCUAAUACAUGCAAGUCGAGCGAACGGACGAGAAGCUUGCUUCUCUGAUGUUAGCGGCGGACGGGUGAGUAACACGUGGAUAACCUACCUAUAAGACUGGGAUAACUUCGGGAAACCGGAGCUAAUACCGGAUGAUAUUUUGAACCGCAUGGUUCAAAAGUGAAAGACGGUCUUGCUGUCACUUAUAGAUGGAUCCGCGCUGCAUUAGCUAGUUGGUAAGGUAACGGCUUACCAAGGCAACGAUGCAUAGCCGACCUGAGAGGGUGAUCGGCCACACUGGAACGGAGACAGGGUCCAGACUCCUACGGGAGGCAGCAGUAGGGAAUCUUCCGCAAUGGGCGAAAGCCUGACGGAGCAACGCCGCGUGAGUGAUGAAGGUCUUCGGAUCGUAAAACUCUGUUAUUAGGGAAGAACAUAUGUGUAAGUAACUGUGCACAUCUUGACGGUACCUAAUCAGAAAGCAACGGCUAACUACGUG